Molecule: long non-coding RNA, 3332 nt
Organism: Arachis duranensis
Lineage: Eukaryota; Viridiplantae; Streptophyta; Magnoliopsida; Fabales; Fabaceae
Exons: 3
Source: RefSeq, a predicted model, not a curated record
CGAGAGAGAGAAGGAGAGCGCUGGGGAAGGGAAAGCCGUCACGCCACCACCGCGCCGCUCAGGACUGCCGCCUCGCCACAACCGCCGUCGCGUCGCCGUUUGUGCCAGCGUUGAGGAGACCGCGCGGGGAAGAGAGACGCGCGAAGGAGGAGGCCGCGGGUUGCCGGUUUGUCCACGAGCCGCCUCCAGAACCGCGAAGAGAAGGAGAAGCUCGCACCGCCGUAACCUGUCGCUGCCAUUCGUCCUUGCCGCCGCCAGCUGCGCCGUCGGGAAGAAGAGAUGCGCCAAAGAGGGAAGCUCAAUUCUGUCACCACCGCCGCGCCGCGCUCCAUGCUGACGCCACCACUGUUCCGCCACGAGAGAAGGAUGCGCGAGGGAGGAAACAGAACCGCGUGGGAGCUCAGCCAUGGAGAGAAGAGACGCGCGUCGGAUCUGUCGCCGCCGGUCCGCCCAGCCGACCCGUCGCCAAACCACGUCGCCGUCAGUGAAGCUGUCUCCGUCACCGCUGCCGGAGGUCGCCAUCGGAGCCGCCGCUCCACUUCUGUCAUUCUUCUUUUUACAGGUUGAUUUUAUGAGUCUGCUUGUCAAAAAUUAAGGUUGUUGCUGAGCCACUGAAGCUCCUAGCCGCUGUCGGAGCUGCUGCCGGUUAAGUUUGGGGUGGCUGGCGUGUCGUUCUUUUAUUCCAGAGUUCAUAACCGGGGUUGCAUGUUGUGACUUAAAGGUGUUUAUGCUGUUGCGAAAGUGUGCGGGCUAUGAAUUAAAGCUGCCAUUGGUUUCGAGACGAGAUGAAAGGAAUUCGUUAAUGCGUUUGGGUUAUGGGUUCACUUAUCGAGGUAGGAGUCUUUUUAAAGAACUUAAUUUUAUGAUUUGGAGUUGUUAUAAUGGAUAUUAAUGUGAUAAAUAUACUUUUGGUGAUUGGAUAAGCCUUAUGUAUUGCUGGGCUGUUUUGUGAUGAACGUAUUUGUGGUUGGAUUGGAUUGUUGUUUGAUUUUGUUAUAUGGUUGGUUGCUGAAAUAUUUCAUUACAAUUUUGGAAAACGAGUUGGUUCAUUGAAAAUGGAUUGAGUUUGGAUUUGAUUUCUUGAAUUAUAAGAAGGAUAUGAAAUUUUCGAAAUUAGUCUGAUUUUAAACUGAUUUGGUUUUGAACUCGUGGAAGGGAUUGUAUACUGGUUUGGUUGGGACCCGAAACGGGUGGCAAAGUCCAAGUUUUAGGGGAGAUGUUGCCGAAAUUUUAUGAAAUUCAAGAUUUUGUUUUCAAGUAUGAUUUAGAAAAGGAUUGGAUUCGAGAGGUUCUAUUGUUUGGUUCUUGAUUUAUUAAGAAACAGGUGAUUCAAGUUUAAUCUUUUAAGGAAAGCUUAUGUUUUAAGUUUGAUUUAAACAUGAGGAGACCUAUGUUUUGCGGUUUGGUCAAAGAAGUACCCUUGGAGGAUUUUUAGCAGAUUUUAAAGAAAAUUAAACUUUGAUUACUUAAUUUCGCAUUGUUUUUGAAGUAUUCUUUAAAUCUUAACUAAAUAAAUCCAAGCCUUUGGGAAAGUUUCCGAUUUAAGAAUGAAAAGAAAUUGGGUUUUUGGACUUAAAUAAUGUUGGUUUUGAAACUGGCUCGGAACUUUUGGCCUACAUGCCUUGGUUUUGGUUUUAAGUCUCCAUUUUAAAUGAUUUCAAUUUGAGUAAUUAUGAUUCCGAGGAUUUCUAAAGAGUUUGAGAAGUGAGGCAGGUUAUUCUUCCCUAAAGUCUUGUGUCUUCUCAAAGAAAGUUCCGUUUUAAGGUGAUGAUUGAAAGUCUCUUGGAAGUUUUGUAAAAUGUUAUAUUAAGCGACUAAGAUUUGAAAAGGAAUUGAUUUUGAGAAAAGUUGAAUUAUGAGUUUGAAGAGAUUUGAGAAAUAAAAAGUGACUUAUGGCUUGAAUAAUGAUUGGUUUGAUAUGAAUUGUUAAUGAAAUGCGGAAAUGAUGAUGGAUGAAUGAUUAUGAAUAAACAUAUGUGGCUUCUGCACGUUUAUCUGAGAUACGAGUUCCCUGGGUAAAGAACCGUGGCUUGCCACCACGUGUUCCAGGUUGGAUCUUGAUACUCUGUUGACCCUACGUCGUAAGGAUGACCGGGCACGUAUAAAUUCCCAGGUAUGGAUAGCCCCCAGUGAGUGAUUUGAAUGAUGUAUGAAUGUAAAUCUAUGCAUAGACUCAUGGGGAUGCGCGAUGGGGGACAGUCUAAGGACAAUUCAGACUUGUCAGGUUGGCUGGAUAACCGACAGAUGAGCCUCAUCAGCCAUAGGACAGGCAUGCAUCAUAUGCACUUGUAUGCUUUAUUUGCGUUUGAACUUGUUUGGGUUUGCCUAAUUGCUAAACUGUUCUUAACUGCUACUUGAACUAUUUGCUGUAAUUGUUACCUACUUGUGCUUUCCUUGUCUGUCUUGCUUGUGUUUGUCCUGACGUGUUACAUUUGAGAAUGAAUUUUGGUGUUGAAUUAAUGAUUGUGUUGUUGAUUGCGUGGUUGGUUUUUGAUUGAGAUUUUCUUUUAAGAAAGGAAAGGUUUUGGAUUUCUAAAAGAUUAAACAUUGUUUCUUUGAAAAAGUUUUGAACAUUUACUUAUUGGUUUUUAAAAGAUUCAUAAGGCAAUGAUAAUCAGUGAUCUUGAAAACAGUUUUCUUACUAAAUAUCUUAUGACAACUUUGAAACUCCAUGGUGAGACCGUGUGGUUAGGUUCUCACUUCUCACCCCCUACAGCUUUACCUUUUAAGGAACCGGAAGAAGAAGCAUUAAGAGGAGUUAUACUGCGUUUGGUUUAUAUGUUGAAUUAAUUAGAUUAUUCUCUUCUCACCCCCUAUAGCUUUACCUUUUAAGGAACCGGAAGAAGAAGCAUUAAGAGGAGUUAUACUGCGUUUGGUUUAUAUGUUGAAUUAAUUAGAUUAUUCUCUUCCCUCGUCUUUGUUAUUACAAUUUCGUAAGAGGGAUAGGAGUUGUAUGUUUUAUAUAUAUUAUAUUAUAAGUUAUUAUGUAAGAAGUCUCAGCAAUACGGUGUUGAGUCACAGGCUCCUAUUUUAAUAUUAAGUAUAUAAAGUAGUCGUAAUACUUCUUGCAAUUAGAGUGGCGCAGCCGGAAGCGUGAUUUUCUGGUAGUGAGGAUGUUACAUUGAUGUUCUUAUAAAGAGGCGUAAAACGUCUUUUUGUAAAGACACUUAUGUGUCGUAUUAUUAUUGGACGUAUUAAUGAACCGGUUGUUUUUUAAUUUCAUAACAAACUAAAAUAAAACUGAUUUUUUAUAACAAUAACAAUAAACCCAAUUGUUAUCAGAUCCGGUCGAAUCGACCAAUUUACAUAACCUACUGGAUUAUGAUUUUUUU